RNAcentral lists this ribosomal RNA (497 nucleotides) under uncultured bacterium. RNAcentral describes it as "partial 16S ribosomal RNA". It matches the Rfam family "Bacterial small subunit ribosomal RNA", at positions 28 to 507 of the family's 1533-position model. The record is from RNAcentral.
GAUGAACGCUGGCGGCGUGCCUAAUACAUGCAAGUCGAGCGAACGGACGAGAAGCUUGCUUCUCUGAUGUUAGCGGCGGACGGGUGAGUAACACGUGGAUAACCUACCUAUAAGACUGGGAUAACUUCGGGAAACCGGAGCUAAUACCGGAUAAUAUUUUGAACCGCAUGGUUCAAAAGUGAAAGACGGUCUUGCUGUCACUUAUAGAUGGAUCCGCGCUGCAUUAGCUAGUUGGUAAGGUAACGGCUUACCAAGGCAACGAUGCAUAGCCGACCUGAGAGAGUGGUCGUCCACACUGGAACUGAAACACGGUCCACACUCCUACGGGAGGCAGCAGUAGGGAAUCUUCCGCAAUGGGCGAAAGCCUGACGGAGCAACGCCGCGUGAGUGAUGAAGGUCUUCGGAUCGUAAAACUCUGUUAUUAGGGAAGAACAUAUGUGUAAGUAACUGUGCACAUCUUGACGGUACCUAAUCAGAAAGCCACGGCUAACUACGUG